UAGGGAAUCUUCCGCAAUGGACGCAAGUCUGACGGAGCAACGCCGCGUGAGUGAAGAAGGAUUUCGGUUCGUAAAACUCUGUUGUUAGAGAAGAACAGCGCAUAGAGUAACUGUUAUGCGUGUGACGGUAUCUAACCAGAAAGCCACGGCUAACUACGUGCCAGCAGCCGCGGUAAUACGUAGGUGGCAAGCGUUGUCCGGAUUUAUUGGGCGUAAAGCGAGCGCAGGCGGUCAAGUAAGUCUGAUGUGAAAGCCCCCGGCUCAACCGGGGAGGGUCAUUGGAAACUGGUUGACUUGAGUGCAGAAGAGGAGAGUGGAAUUCCAUGUGUAGCGGUGAAAUGCGUAGAUAUAUGGAGGAACACCAGUGGCGAAGGCGACUCUCUGGUCUGUAACUGACGCUGAGGCUCGAAAGCGUGGGUAGCAAACAGG
This 429-nucleotide ribosomal RNA is filed under the name Bacteroidota bacterium. RNAcentral describes it as "Bacteroidetes bacterium partial 16S ribosomal RNA". It matches the Rfam family "Bacterial small subunit ribosomal RNA", at positions 355 to 776 of the family's 1533-position model. The record is from RNAcentral. Lineage: Bacteria; Pseudomonadati; Bacteroidota.